This 445-nucleotide unclassified non-coding RNA is filed under the name Hevea brasiliensis (rubber tree). Lineage: Eukaryota; Viridiplantae; Streptophyta; Magnoliopsida; Malpighiales; Euphorbiaceae. The record is from RNAcentral.
UGAUCUGCAUGGCAUGCUGAAAACAAUAUCCUCUGCUAUGCCAUAAGGAUUUCCAGUGGAAUAUACCCCAGAUGAAAACCAAUCGCCUUCAGGAGUUGGAGUAAUUAAAGACCUUAUGGCAUCAACAAUUGAUACAGCAGUUGAAGCAGCUGAAGAUCUUCCCCAUUUUUCAAUCAGCGCACCACCCCUCUUCUGUACUUUUUCAGUGAAUUCCUCUUCCAACCACCUGUGGUCCUUGAUAACCUCUUUAACGGGCAAGCCGUUAAUUCUUGCGUUCAAGAAGUCUGGAACCUGAGUUGUUGAGUGGUUGCCCCAAAUGGUCAUGUUUGACACUUUAUCAUAGAAGACACCCGCUUUCAGAGCCAGCUGACAUUUUGCUCUAUUCUCGUCUAAUCGAGAAUUCCCGCAAAGAACUUCCACGCUUUAACUCGAUUAGACGAGAAUA